GCGACUAAGAACAAACAGGAGCUCUCCUUCUACAGUCUUCCUGAGUUUGAGGAGUGGAAGAAGCAGACGGAAAGCUAUAAAACCUGGCACAUCAAGUACUACAAAGGUUUGGGUACAAGCACUAGCAAAGAGGCCAAGGAGUACUUUGCUGACAUGGAGAGGCACCGGAUCACAUUCAGAUACCAGGGGGCCGAGGACGACGCCGCCAUCACGCUGGCCUUUAGCAAAAAGAAGACUGACGACAGGAAGGAGUGGCUGACAAACUUCAUGGAGGACCGACGGCAGAGGAGGAUGCACGGCCUGCCGGAGAAAUACCUGUAUGGAA
This is a long non-coding RNA of Oryzias melastigma (Indian medaka), 325 nucleotides long. RefSeq lists it as uncharacterized. NCBI's taxonomy places the organism in Eukaryota, Metazoa, Chordata, Actinopteri, Beloniformes, Adrianichthyidae. The record is from RefSeq and is a predicted model, not a curated record. The transcript is spliced from 4 exons.